GACGAACGCUGGCGGCGUGCCUAAUACAUGCAAGUCGAGCGAACGGACGAGAAGCUUGCUUCGCGGACGUUAGCGGCGGACGGGUGAAACACACGUGUAUAACCUACCUGUAAGUCGGGUAUAUCUUCGGGACACGGGCGAUAACACCGGAUGAGAUCUUGCACCGCGGGGUGCAUAAGAGAGAGACGGUGUUGCUGUCACUAAUAGAUGGAUCCGCGCUGCAUUAGCUAGUUGGUGAGGUAACGGCUUACCAAGGCAACGAUGCAUAGCCGACCUGUGAGGGUGAUCGGCCACACUGGAACUGAGCCACGGUCCAGACUCCUACGGGAGGCAGCAGUAGGGAAUCUUCCGCAAUGGGCGAAAGCCUGACGGAGCAACGCCGCGUGAGUGAUGAAGGUCUUCGGAUCGUAAAACUCUGUUAUUAGGGAAGAACAUAUGUGUAAGUAACUGUGCACAUCUUGACGGUACCUAAUCAGAAAGCCACGGCUAACUACGUG
This 497-nucleotide ribosomal RNA is filed under the name uncultured bacterium. Its description in RNAcentral is "partial 16S ribosomal RNA". It matches the Rfam family "Bacterial small subunit ribosomal RNA", at positions 28 to 507 of the family's 1533-position model. The record is from RNAcentral.